AAAUUGAAGAGUUUGAUCAUGGCUCAGAUUGAACGCUGGCGGCAGGCCUAACACAUGCAAGUCGAGCGGUAGCACAGGAGAGCUUGCUCUCUGGGUGACGAGCGGCGGACGGGUGAGUAAUGUCUGGGAAACUGCCUGAUGGAGGGGGAUAACUACUGGAAACGGUAGCUAAUACCGCAUAACCUCGCAAGAGCAAAGAGGGGGACCUUCGGGCCUCUCGCCAUCAGAUGUGCCCAGAUGGGAUUAGCUAGUAGGUGAGGUAAUGGCUCACCUAGGCGACGAUCCCUAGCUGGUCUGAGAGGAUGACCAGCCACACUGGAACUGAGACACGGUCCAGACUCCUACGGGAGGCAGCAGUGGGGAAUAUUGCACAAUGGGCGCAAGCCUGAUGCAGCCAUGCCGCGUGUGUGAAGAAGGCCUUCGGGUUGUAAAGCACUUUCAGCGGGGAGGAAGGCGAUAAGGUUAAUAACCUUGUCGAUUGACGUUACCCGCAGAAGAAGCACCGGCUAACUCCGUGCCAGCAGCCGCGGUAAUACGGAGGGUGCAAGCGUUAAUCGGAAUGACUGGGCGUAAAGCGCACGCAGGCGGUCUGUUAAGUUGGAUGUGAAAUCCCCGGGCUUAACCUGGGAACUGCAUUCAAAACUGACAGGCUAGAGUCUUGUAGAGGGGGGUAGAAUUCCAGGUGUAGCGGUGAAAUGCGUAGAGAUCUGGAGGAAUACCGGUGGCGAAGGCGGCCCCCUGGACAAAGACUGACGCUCAGGUGCGAAAGCGUGGGGAGCAAACAGGAUUAGAUACCCUGGUAGUCCACGCUGUAAACGAUGUCGACUUGGAGGUUGUGCCCUUGAGGCGUGGCUUCCGGAGCUAACGCGUUAAGUCGACCGCCUGGGGAGUACGGCCGCAAGGUUAAAACUCAAAUGAAUUGACGGGGGCCCGCACAAGCGGUGGAGCAUGUGGUUUAAUUCGAUGCAACGCGAAGAACCUUACCUACUCUUGACAUCCAGAGAAUUUGCUAGAGAUAGCUUAGUGCCUUCGGGAACUCUGAGACAGGUGCUGCAUGGCUGUCGUCAGCUCGUGUUGUGAAAUGUUGGGUUAAGUCCCGCAACGAGCGCAACCCUUAUCCUUUGUUGCCAGCGAUUCGGUCGGGAACUCAAAGGAGACUGCCGGUGAUAAACCGGAGGAAGGUGGGGAUGACGUCAAGUCAUCAUGGCCCUUACGAGUAGGGCUACACACGUGCUACAAUGGCGUAUACAAAGAGAAGCGACCUCGCGAGAGUAAGCGGACCUCAUAAAGUACGUCGUAGUCCGGAUUGGAGUCUGCAACUCGACUCCAUGAAGUCGGAAUCGCUAGUAAUCGUAGAUCAGAAUGCUACGGUGAAUACGUUCCCGGGCCUUGUACACACCGCCCGUCACACCAUGGGAGUGGGUUGCAAAAGAAGUAGGUAGCUUAACCUUAGGGAGGGCGCUUACCACUUUGUGAUUCAUGACUGGGGUGAAGUCGUAACAAGGUAACCGUAGGGGAACCUGCGGUUGGAUCACCUCCUUACC
This 1544-nucleotide ribosomal RNA is filed under the name Pectobacterium polaris. RNAcentral's name for it is "bacterial SSU rRNA". It matches the Rfam family "Bacterial small subunit ribosomal RNA". The record is from RNAcentral. Lineage: Bacteria; Pseudomonadati; Pseudomonadota; Gammaproteobacteria; Enterobacterales; Pectobacteriaceae.